UUAUUAGAUCACCAGUUUAUUAUAAAAGAAUAUAACUCAGGAACAGCAAGAUGGAAGAAAUGGUAAGGCAAGGUAUGGGGAAGGGGCAAGGAGCUUCCAUGGUCUCCUGGCAUACCACUCUUCUUCCAUCUCCUUGUGUUCACCACCCCAGAAGCUCUCUGAACCCUGUCCUUUUAGGAUUUUAUGGAGGCUUGAUUACAUCGAAUAUUAAUGAAAUCAUUGGCUAUUGGUGACUGAACUCAAUCUCCAGUUCCUCUCCCCUGGAGAUAAGGAAGGAGGAGUUCUAACCCUUUAAUCACAAUGUUGUUUCUCCCUGGCAACCAGCCCCCAUCCUUAAGUUACCUAGGAGUUUUCCAAGUUACCUCAUUAACGUAAGUUCAAAAGACACCUUUUUCAUGCUAAACACUUAGAAAAUUCUAAGGGUGUUAAAUUCCUGUGCCAGGAAUAGGGAUGAAGACCAGAUGUGUAUUUCUUAUAAAACACAAUAUCACAGCCUCAGUGGUUGGAAUACACUUAAAACAUUAAGUAAUUAAAAAUAGGAUAGAAAUUAUGCUCACAGAAAAAGCAAAACUAAUGGAAUAAUAUAUAAACAGUAUUGCAGAAAAAUACCUUCCUGUUUUAGUUCUAGGAUAUUUUGUUUAUAAUACAAAGAUUUAACUUAAACAUGAAAGGUUCCUUGUGAAACCAGUAUUUUCCAGGUCAACAUGGGUAAGAAGUAAUGUAAUCUGGUGUGGAGCAAAAGAUUUAUCAGAAAGUCUGGGUAAAAGCAACUUGUGGACAAAAUAACUUUUUAUGACUUGAAAAUGUGAAAAGUAGAAAAUAUUGAAAGAAUUCACAACUUGUUCAGCAGUAUUUCAUGAACAGAGGCUGAGUAUAUUGGUGCCAUCAAUCCACCACAUGAAACAUGAACACAAAUCCAGCAAGAGAGCUUCCAAGCACCAAGAAAAAUAGUUGCACACAGCUUCCAUUUGUGGGCUAGAGUUUACUGUAAUUUUAAGUUAUUAAUCUUACAAAUUAAAUCAUCUGCUUUCCAGUCUGUUUUUACAAUGCAGCAAGUAAGAGAAACUGACGUUGACUAAUGAACAGAAGUGAUGGCCAAAAAAGAAGAGGAAACCAUAGAGGCAUUUUCAUAUAGGGGCAGGCAUAUUAAUUACUAUGCAUCUGUGUCAUCAAAAAUAGUUAUUUCUCUUUACUGAGAGAAAAUUAAUCAGAGUCCUUUUAGCAUUACAUUAAGAAACAAGCCACAAACUACAAAACGAGUUUCCUUUAAUCUUAAUUGGUCAUGUUUCCACAGUAAAUAUCGGUUGUCCUCAAAGUAUUGUUGGUGUUCUUAUAAUUAAUGACAUAGUGAAAGUACACGGGAAUUAUAAUAUUAGAACCAGGAUAAAACAAACAGGGGGAAAAAGCCUCAUUAUAAUGAUGGAAAAACUAAAGCCCAGAUAAAUGAAAUGAGAUCAGCCCAUGAUCCCUGAAAAAUGGAGAAGUUUUAACUCCAAAAGCUAUUUCCAAAAUUGGUUUGCUACAGAAGAAAAAAAAUGGCAUCCAUGGAAGAUACAUACCAGUUACCAAAUGCCAGAUAAGGUAACCUUGGGUUAAAAGCUUUUAUGAGAGGGAUCUACUUUACAUUUUAAUGUUUUACUCUCAUUUUGCAUGUCCUGUGUUCAAGUUAUACUGUAAUCAUACUGGUAUCUUAUACCAUGAAGUAAAUUUACUGCCAUCAUCUAUAUACUACAAAUACUAAUUUGUAAUCAGAAAAGGGCAGUCUGUAACAAGACAUGAUUUUGAAUUGCUGGCCCUGGGCAAAAUAGUGAACUAGGAAGAAGUAAGUUUUUGAAAUCUACCUACUUCCACCAAAUCUCAUGAUCCCUUGAUAAACAUUUUCCUCUUCCCAGAUGCCUAUCCUUUGCCCAAAACUAGAGGGAGGAAUGCAGAGAAGAGAUAAUUAGUGAGAAAGGUGUGAAAUGAUUAGGCUGACCCAGAACAUAGCUCUUCUGUGUUAAUUCUAGGAUCAGAAGCUAACAUUUGUAGUGUCUACAAUAUAUAAACCAAUGCACUAAGCAAGCACUUGGCAUGUUCUCUGAUUUAAUUCUCACCACCAAUUAACAGAAUAGAUAGGUAUUCCCUGCCCCCACUCCCCACCUUUUUACCAAUGGGAAAAACUGAUUUCUCAACAUUUACAAGUUUAUUAGUCCCCUUUCGUUACCCAUAGCUGUACUAUUCAAAUGUUCUCAGCAUAGUAUCAUAUCAGAGGCUUUACAGGAGGAGGUCUGUGAAAAUGUGCCACCUUUAUGUCCUUGUCUCACUCCUGCAACAGAACACAUAUAGACUAAAAAUAUUGGUGCAUGUUAUCACAUUCAAUAUUCCCAAUUUUUGAAUAUUUAUAUCAGUAGGGAGACUUCAUCUUGCCAAAUAAGACUUAGUAUGAUAAAAACAUGCUUCCGACUAUAAGAUACUAAACCUGCUUCUUAGAUUUGCCAUUUUAAUAAUUUUAAGUCUAGUUUAAAUUUAUCCUCAGUUUAUAAUAAGUGUAUCUCUUGUUGGAGAAAAAAAGUUGGGUCUUACAGGUUUAGCAAUCUUUACGAUACUUAUUUUAUCCACAUUGCCCAAUGGGCCUAGAUAUUUAACAGGGGUACUUCUUAAACCUUAUUCAUAAGACUGAAGUACCAAAUAGAAACUUAGUCUCCUUAUGGUGCCUGCUGAUCGAAUUUUCUCCACUUUUCUAUUGCAAUUCUAGAAUUACAUUAUGAAUUAAAGUCAGAGGCAGAGUUUUUAAAUCAUAGAAACCUACAUGAUUAGUUUUUCCCACCCCAGUAAAGGUGCAACUUUUGUUCCUUCAAAUAUUUAUUGAAUACCAGGUGUAUAUAUUAGGCAUUGAGGACACAAAGGGAUAAAAAUAAAAUUGGAACUUACAGCUCAUGGUUUAGCUAGAGCCCAACAUAUACUUAACUAAUAGUUAUAUUAAUGAUGUGAACAGAAGGACACAAGAAGCAGAUGGAAGAAAUGGUUCUACACCAGCUUUGGGGUAAAGGGGACAGUUGGAAUGCAUAAACUCAGUAAAACACAGAAGAGAUGUUUAAAGUUUCGGAAAAAGAUUUCACAGUGUUGUAUUCCAAGCAGGGAUUUCCCCAGCAAAGGUAAAGACUUUUUAAAGUACACAAAAGAAAUGGCAAGUACUAGCACUCAGUAAAGCUGGAAAUUGGGCACAUUAAUGGAAGAUUGUGAUGGAUGAAGCUGGAAAAGCCAUAUCAUGAAGGCUUUUUGGUGUAAUGCUGAGCGUUUGGCUUCUAUUCUUUAGGAAAACAGUCAUAGAAUAUUUCUAAGCUAAAGAGUAACAAUCAUAUCUGUCUUAGGAAGAUCAAUCUGGUAGUAACAAAGAAUGGACUGGAACAGGCAUAGGGGCAGAGGAGUACAGGCAGCCCAGAACAUUUUGGGAUAUUUUAAGAGUCCUGGUGAGAUGAACAUCUAACAUGGCUGUGAACAUCUACAACAAGUAGACAAAUUAUGAACAUUUCUGGGGUCAACUCAAGAAAAUCUCACAAUACAUUGUAUAUAGAAGAAAAGAGAAACCAGGUAACUUUUGCAAUGACUAGGUAGAGACAUAGUGAUGCCAAUAACCAAAUUAGGAGGGAAAGGAACAGCUAAUGCUUGGGGGCAAGGGAGAAGAGAAGGAUUUAGUUCUGAUUAUAGAGAUCAUUAGAGCUGAAGUGAGAAACCAACACUGACAAGUCAUGGGGUCACGAAGAUAAUUCAGGGACAAAGUGUAGAGACAGAACCUGAGACUGCUUUAAAUAGUGGUGGCUACGGCUGAAGAAGACAUCCAAAGAAA
This 3826-nucleotide long non-coding RNA is filed under the name Canis lupus familiaris (dog). Its description in RNAcentral is "lncRNA (ENSCAFG00845022839.1)". The record is from RNAcentral. Lineage: Eukaryota; Metazoa; Chordata; Mammalia; Carnivora; Canidae.